GUCUUUUAGAAUUAAAGCACAUAUACUAAAAUUGGAAAGAUACAGAGAAGAUUAGCAUGGCCCCUGCGCAAGGAUGACACGCAAAUUUGUGAAGUGUUCCAUAUUUUG
Molecule: small nuclear RNA, 108 nt
Organism: Suncus etruscus (white-toothed pygmy shrew)
Lineage: Eukaryota; Metazoa; Chordata; Mammalia; Eulipotyphla; Soricidae
Source: RefSeq, a predicted model, not a curated record